CUCCAUUUCUCUUUUGUUUUUGGUACACAGUUCCUCUGACUUCCACAACACCUGCUCCGACAACUGAAACAAUCAGUCAGACAGAGCCACCCAUCAUGACCAACACUGCUGCUAAAGUGUUCACUGGAGUAGGAGCUUCGGUUCUAGUAGUAGCGGUUCUAGUAGUAGCAGUUCUAGCGGUCACAUUUUUCAGAAGGAGGUGUUGUGGCCCAUUGCCACACCAGCAGCAUGCAAGGCCCAUUGAGAUGGAGAAUUUCCUGCCAAAUCCAGAUCAAGUGUAAUAAAACAAUAACGAUGUUUACUUAGGACCAGACCAUAACUGAAGAAUAACACUGGCGUGUUAUCAAUCAAGUGCAAUUGUUAGGUUUUCAGCUCUCUAAGC
Molecule: long non-coding RNA, 382 nt
Filed under: Sinocyclocheilus anshuiensis
Lineage: Eukaryota; Metazoa; Chordata; Actinopteri; Cypriniformes; Cyprinidae
Description: lncRNA (ENSSANG00000026380.1)
Source: RNAcentral